Bubalus bubalis (water buffalo) is the source of this 4210-nucleotide long non-coding RNA. RefSeq lists it as uncharacterized. NCBI's taxonomy places the organism in Eukaryota, Metazoa, Chordata, Mammalia, Artiodactyla, Bovidae. The transcript is spliced from 2 exons. The record is from RefSeq and is a predicted model, not a curated record.
UGCAUCUCUGUCUUUGGCCUCCUCUCCACAGUCCCCUGGCUUCCUUCUUCCUGGGAACUUGGACUCAAUGUGUUUCUGUGCUUGUAACCCCAGGGUCUCCGGGGAUUAGGUUUAUGGAAUUAUGCUAACAGAGGAAAUCAGAAAAUUGAAAGUCAAUGUUUGCAAUCACAUGUUCCCUUGGUGACGUAGCCUUUGGAAAUUGUAUGUAGGUCCUGCAGCUGAGAUGCAGAAGAUGUUGGUAAAAGUGACUCCAACCAUCCCCUGCCUGGAAGCGAGCCUGGGACACGAGAGAAGGGAGAUCUGUGAUCCUGGCUCAAGAGCAGACAGUCAGGGGUGGCACAGGGAAGCCAAGUGACCAAAUAGGCUGAUAUUGCCUGCAGCAGCUGUGCAGUGAGGAGAAGGCAUUGGUGAAAAUCAUGGUGACGAAACAUUAGCUGUGCUGAAAACGUUAGCACUGGAAAAGACGUUGGUGACCCUCAUCAAAAUUCCUCAUCAACUGAAGCCCAGGGAGAGGCUCAGUGAUUCUCUCAAGCUGGUUGACUGUCAAACGACGUGUAUAAGAUGUGGCCACAACGCACUCUGAGGUAAGAGCAAAUCCACCAUCAAAAAAAAUCACAACACACUGAGGGCUUCCCAACAGAAUACACAGCCCUAAAGUGGAGCCCUGAAGAUUCAACAGCGUCUUCAUAAAAGUAUGAUGUGCUGAGCUGACUUUGAAAGGCAGCCGCUGUGUUGUCCACCACUUCUGCACCUUUCAGCGUCUGCUUCUUCGGCACUUGGCUUGCUGUGACCCCAGCUCCACCUUCCAACUCCUUUUAUCUCAUCCAUAAACAUGUGGAGCUCCGGCUGUUCUGGAAAUGUUCUCUUUGCAUCUUUUCAGGUACUGUGCUUGCUGUUGGCUUGAUUUGGUUUCACAGUUCAGAUUUCUGAUAAGCAUGUUCCAUAUUUUUUGAGGAGGAUGUCAUUGACCAACAGAAACACUGGCUUACCUAUGGACCACUGUCAGUGAUCCAAUAUGACCUGAUUGUGAAGAGGGGCUGUGUUGUCUUCAGUGAGGUUGUUGAAGGUGCUGUGGAGGCUUCCCAGGUGGUACUGGUGGUAAAGAACCCACCAGCCAAUGCAGGAGACGUAAGAGACAUGGGUUAGAUCCCUGGGUCAGGAAGAUCUCCUGGAGGAGAGCAUAACAACCCACUCCAGUAUUCUUGCCUGGAAAAUUGCAUGGAAAAAGGAGCCUGGUGGGCUAUGUAGGGUCCAUAGUGUCACAAGAGUUGGACUUGACCGAAGUGACUUAGCGUGCAUGCACAAGGUGCUGUGGAUGGGCCAGGCUUUGGAACAGUAAUUCCAGCCCCAUCCUGUGUGGGGAUGGCAGGACAGUACAGCCAAUGUCUUCUCCAGAUUUACAAAUGCCCAACGUGUUUGUGAAGAAAUGAUCUAGUCACUUCUGGGCAGGGGGACCAAUCAGAGAUUGGAUGUAUCCAUUGCUGGCUGGUAAAAUCUAAUGUUUUAAUUUGUUGGCUAGCUUCUUUUUGGUUCCUAAACAUUGCUCAAAUUUUCACUCGAUUCUUCCUUUUUUCUCAGAAACAGUCUUUGCGGUCUUUGGCCACGCCCAGAAUCCUCGUCUGUUCUGUCUCUCCUCCCAGACAGACACUCCAGAGUUCAUGUCAGGAGAAGGAUGGCUCCCAGCUCCCCAGGGGAGGGAUUCAAGCCGUGGGAAGAGCCGAGCUCCAAGGACAUCGUGUUACACCCGCUAAAAUGGUGUCAGGAGGCUCGGGAGGGAGGCGGCUCCAGGAACAAAGUACGACGAGGUCUGGGACUGUGUGGGAACAAUCUGGGCCUCACAGCUGCUCUGUGACAGCCCGUGUCCUCAGGUCCUUCCGGGCGGAGCCUCCUGAGCCACCCACAGCACCUCUGCCACCCUUUUCCAGCACUUGGGCUGCUGUUCCACCUGGCCUCCAGCCCCUGAGGGGUGCCAGCAACACCAUGGAUGGGGAGGAGAGCCCCAUUUGGGGUAGUCACCUUGGAUACCUCUUUGCAUCCAGGGCGGUGGACCCUGUGUUUGGGGAGAAGUCCCGAUUCAGAAUUUGGAAUUGGGGUUUUGUGCUAAUUGGAUGCUUUUCUUCUGGCUUCAAAAUAAUAUUGUUUUGGUUGCUAAGAAACGCUCUUAAUUGAACAUGGGGCUGAAUGGUUCAGUACAAUGACGCGCCGUGCAGAAGUCGGGAGAACAGCACAGUGCUCAGGUGACAGCGGGCCAUUUCUUGGGACAGGCACAUCAUACCACACAAGUGUUUUCCCAGGUUUUCCUCACCAGGUGCCAAGGUGCUCAUUUGUGAUUGCAAACACAGGAGUCCCUGCCUAGUUCUGAGGCAUGGUCCAUCACUGAGCAAUCUGUGGCUAGAACCCAACUCAGCUUGGUUUUAUAGGCUGACGAUAUCUUGCAGGCUUGAAGAAGGAAAUGGUAACCCACUCCAGUAUUCUGGCCUGGGAAAUCCCAUGGAUGGAGGAGCCUGGUGGGCUGCAGUCUGUGGGAUUGCAAAGAGCUGGACAUGAUUUAAUGACCAAACAAUGAACAACAUCUUGCAGGCUAUUGGUCUGAGUGAACCACUCUCCUAAUGACCAGAUCAUUCUAAUGGUGUACUCAUUUGAUGCAGGGCAAUGAAAUACCGUUACUUGCAUCAGACUGGCUGGCUCUUGUGGACCUGAUCUCAUAAUCCUUGCUUCACGGAGGUCUCGAUUUCUUCCGUAGUGAAGAACAGGAACCUGAGAGAAGAUCCCUUUGGCAAAAGGUCUUUAGUGUCACUGAAAAAAACAAAGAUCAAAGUUUAAUAUUCCUAAUAGUAAUUGCUUUCUGUUUUGUUUUUCACAGCUGAGAGACUGCGUUUGGCUGAAUCUCUAGGGGGAGAUGAGAGAAGCAGGCGAAUAACCCUAGCUCUGAAAGCACUGAUAAAAUUAAUGUGUUCUUUGACUUUAGAGCCAGAAGACGGUCAUACACUGUUUUCCAGGCACUUUCCUAGCACACAGAUACCGUAGGCCACAAGGUGGGUUCAUGUCUGUUUGCUGAGAAGCCAGAUACGAGCACUGGUGGGUUGAGGGUGCUGAUGAGUACGAGGACUUGAGUAGAUGCUCUGCUUCUCACUGUGAUGGGCUGAGAGUUGUUUAAGUGUUUAAAACGUGGCCUAAAUAACAUCAAAGUAGUUCAAAAGUUGGUUUUUAAACAUCUCUUAGUGGAUAGAAUUAGAGGGCUAUUUUUUUUUUAAGUCAUCGCCCCUCCCCGUUCCCCUACUAACAGGUGGUACUGCAUCUGUGGCAGCCAGGGGUCUUUAAGUGAAGGCAACGGCAAUGCUGCUGACCUUCAUUUGAACAGGAGUUUAGUAAAAUGAUAUCGAGUGGCAAAUAUAUCUUAAAAAACCAUUUGAACAGCCAGGGAUCCAGAAGAGGGUGCCUAAAGGACCCUGAAAUCAGAACACAGUGGCUUCUACCAUUUCCUGUAUUUUUAUUACUUUGAGAUUCAAAUGUCAGGAGAAAGUAAUUUGUUCAAUUGGUCUACGGGACAGCUCCAGAAUUCCAGUGUAGGAGGGAUUCCAACUCUUGACGAGGAAGUGGAAGUUACCCUGGGUCUUAGAAGAGAGAGAGGAAAAGGUGUCAGGAGAAAAGAGUGGUGUGAACAAAUCCAUGGGGGCAGGAACCAGCAAAAUGAACAUGGGAGCCAGAGAUGGGUGCCUGUUGUAACGCAGGUGUGCAAGGGAGGCGCCAGGGAGGGACAGACCCGUGUGUAAGGGGCCGGGAGAGCCCUGGCAUUGUGGUGCAGUGGAAACAGAGGGAAGGAGGGAGGAUUCUAAAUAGGGAAAUGACCUGAGGGAAGCAACAUUAUUAGAAGUCAGGGAGUAGGUCUUAAAAAACCCAGUUCCUAAGUCUGAGCCUAGGGAACGAGAUGGUAGAGUGGGACCUGGUGAGGCAUCCACUAUGUCAUGAUGGUGCCACUGUGGGCCCUGGUACAGAGACCUCAUAAAGGGUGGCAUUUAGGGGUGGGUGUUAGGAGAAGGAGUUUGACCAUCACCAUGAAAUUGGCCCCCCUGACAAAGGCUGAGGCUCCCAUUACUGAGAGUAUUUGGGUCAAUCUGGACAUCCAGCCCCUUGUCCUGGGGAUGACCUUGGGAGGAAGGAUGAAUUUGACUUCAAAGGUCAAUGUAACUUCUGUGAAUCUAUAAGUCAA